RNAcentral lists this ribosomal RNA (253 nucleotides) under uncultured bacterium. RNAcentral's name for it is "partial 16S ribosomal RNA". It matches the Rfam family "Bacterial small subunit ribosomal RNA", at positions 524 to 776 of the family's 1533-position model. The record is from RNAcentral.
UACGAAGGGGGCUAGCGUUGUUCGGAAUUACUGGGCGUAAAGUGCACGUAGGCGGACAUUUAAGUCAGGGGUGAAAUCCCAGAGCUCAACUCUGGAACUGCCUUUGAUACUGGGUGUCUUGAGUAUGGAAGAGGUGAGUGGAAUUCCGAGUGUAGAGGUGAAAUUCGUAGAUAUCUGGAGGAACACCGGUGGCGAAGGCGGCAUCCUGGACCGGUAUUGACGCUGAGGAGCGAAAGCCAGGGGAGCAAACGGG